Molecule: non-coding RNA, 72 nt
Organism: Coemansia sp. RSA 1250
Lineage: Eukaryota; Fungi; Kickxellomycota; Kickxellomycetes; Kickxellales; Kickxellaceae
Source: the annotation of a GenBank genome assembly
GCUGGUGUGGCUUAAUGGAAAAGCGUCUGCCUCCUAAGCAGAAGAUUGCGAGUUCGAUCCUCGCCAUCAGCU